This 74-nucleotide transfer RNA is filed under the name Cylindrocystis brebissonii. RNAcentral describes it as "tRNA-Asn". It matches the Rfam family "tRNA". Rfam says of the family: Transfer RNA (tRNA) molecules are approximately 80 nucleotides in length. Their secondary structure includes four short double-helical elements and three loops (D, anti-codon, and T loops). The record is from RNAcentral. Lineage: Eukaryota; Viridiplantae; Streptophyta; Zygnematophyceae; Zygnematales; Mesotaeniaceae.
UGCCUUAAUAGCUCAGCGGUAGAGCGGUCGACUGUUAAUCGAUUGGUCGUAGGUUCAAAUCCUACUUGAGGCGG